UCGCGAAACCUCCGCAAUACACGAAAGUGUGACGGGGCCAUCCCGAGUGCCAUCCGCUGAGGAUGGCUUUUCCCCAGUGUAGACAGCUGGGGGGAAUAAGGAGAGGGCAAGCCGGGUGUCAGCCGCCGCGGUAAUACCCGCUCUCCGAGUGGUGGGGACGCUUAUUGGGCCUAAAGCAUCCGUAGCCGGCUGGAUAAGUCCCCUGUUAAAUCCAGCGAUUCAAUC
This 225-nucleotide ribosomal RNA is filed under the name uncultured Bathyarchaeota archaeon. Its description in RNAcentral is "partial 16S ribosomal RNA". It matches the Rfam family "Archaeal small subunit ribosomal RNA", at positions 339 to 564 of the family's 1478-position model. Lineage: Archaea; Thermoproteati; Candidatus Bathyarchaeota. The record is from RNAcentral.